GGGGGUGCUCUGGUUUCGACAGGGUUACUGAAGUGUUAGUUGCAUGCCGAGGGUCUGGUUGGCCUCGUAAAAAAACCGGAAAAACACAAGUGCAAACGAAAAUUACGCACUCGCAGCUUAAUUAAAGCUACGGCGGGACUGAUCCCCAGCUCGGAGGGAGACUGUUUCGCUCAUUAAACCGAGCUUUGAGUGAUUGUAUGUUUAGGGCAACACUCUAAGUUUACUAAACUAGAUUUCUAAUUCGCCAGCCUUCUAGGGCGUUUAUAAAUCGAAACUCAAAUACAAAGGAAAAGCAUGUAGGAGCGUACAGGGAUGUGAUUUUGGACAGGAGUUCGACUCUCCUCACCUCCAUUU
Molecule: transfer-messenger RNA, 354 nt
Filed under: Fibrobacter sp.
Lineage: Bacteria; Pseudomonadati; Fibrobacterota; Fibrobacteria; Fibrobacterales; Fibrobacteraceae
Also listed under: 1 other name
Rfam family: transfer-messenger RNA
About the family: Bacterial tmRNA, also known as 10Sa RNA or SsrA, is named for its dual tRNA and mRNA-like properties. Its role is to liberate the mRNA from a stalled ribosome.
Source: RNAcentral